Molecule: ribosomal RNA, 460 nt
Filed under: uncultured bacterium
Lineage: Bacteria
Description: partial 16S ribosomal RNA
Rfam family: Bacterial small subunit ribosomal RNA
Source: RNAcentral
CCUACGGGAGACAGCAGUGAGGAAUAUUGGUCAAUGGCCGGAAGGCUGAACCAGCCAUGCCGCGUGAAGGUCAGUGCCCUAUGGGCGUUAAACUUCUUUUGUGCGGGAGCAAUAAUGGUCACGUGUGGCCAGACGAGAGUACCGUACGAAUAAGCAUCGGCUAACUCCGUGCCAGCAGCCGCGGUAAUACGGGGGAUGCAAGCGUUAUCCGGAUUUAUUGGGGUGAAGGGGUGCGUAGGCGGUGAGGUAAGUCAGCGGUGAAAUGCCGCCGGUCAACGGGGUGAAGUGCCAUUGAUACUGCCUUGCUGGAAUGCGGAUGCCGUGGGAGGAAUGUGUGGUGUAGCGGUGAAAUGCAUAGAUAUCAGACAGAACACCGAUUGCGAAGGCAUCUCACGAAUCCGCGAUUGACGCUGAUGCACGAAAGCGUGGGUAUCAAACAGGAUUAGAUACCCGAGUAGUC